Long non-coding RNA from Daphnia pulicaria, 242 nucleotides. RefSeq lists it as uncharacterized. The transcript has 2 exons. NCBI's taxonomy places the organism in Eukaryota, Metazoa, Arthropoda, Branchiopoda, Diplostraca, Daphniidae. The record is from RefSeq and is a predicted model, not a curated record.
AAAAUAUUGGGGUUCUAUUACGGAGAUAAUGAGAUAAUUCACCUGAAGUGACUGCCACUCAACACUUUGUAGUGAUCACACCAUUAAGUUUUAAUUUAGGACAAUGUAAGAUUGAUACUGUAUGGCUUGAAAAUUACAUCUAGAUGUUGUUAUAGUUGCUUGGGUAUUGAGGAGAUUGUUUGAAUUGAAGACUAUUUAAGUAGAAUUAGAUAAAUUACAAGAAUAUAUUUAGGUUCUCUUUU